Molecule: long non-coding RNA, 1028 nt
Filed under: Fragaria vesca (wild strawberry)
Lineage: Eukaryota; Viridiplantae; Streptophyta; Magnoliopsida; Rosales; Rosaceae
Description: long non-coding RNA (FVES_LNC004198)
Source: RNAcentral
UAAGGUGAGUCUAAGCUCUUGUUCUCACUACGCUAUCUAACAAAGAUAUAGUUGAUAGGGUUUAGCUUGCGGUGUCGGCAUCACCUGCCCAAGGACCUAUCUCUUUGUUAAUGCUGGAUCGCAUCUUUCCAUUAGGCCAAUCAACUAAGUUGAUAUCCAUCAACGAAGGGUGGUUCGAUAGUAGACUCAUUAUCUCACGUCCUCAUGUACACUAGUGUAAUACUUGUAGAGAUCUCUAUAUGGAUUGGAUUUGACAUUGAGGCGUCCCCCAACGAUAAUCACAAUUCAGACUUCAUGAGACGGAUUUGAGUAUCACUGAUCAAUGGAUCAGGUUGUGCCAAUCUCGCUUUCAUCCUAGUGCGAGAAUAUAUCGAACCUAAGGGCCUCCCUCCUUUUAGGGAGCCACACGGCCUUGUGACACCAAUUUUGCCACUAUAUGGUGUCACCAUAUCACCAUCCAUGGUGAUGGCGCCAAGAGCAACUUCUUUUGGUCGCGCCAUGUCCUUUUGUAGGACAUCAAUCCUUGCAGACAUAUUUGCAGCAUGUGAUCUCGUCACUUUAACACUAUAAGCAUUUGGGAUCAAGAUGAGACUUAGUGGGGACAAACCACGACAAUUCACGUCGUUCCACUUGAACACUCGUGUUCUUAUCUCCCCCUAACGGCGGGAAUAUUGUCUCAUCAAAGUGACAAUCCGUAAUUUAGCGGUGAAUGAGAUCGCCUGACAAGGUUUCUACAUAUGCGGAUUAUAGGUGGAGGUUCAUAUCCAACCUAAACUUAUUCAUCUCAAAUGACCAAUCAUUGUACGCAAUGGCAAUGCGAUUUGGCAUCUAGAAAUAACAUCUAGCCGAGCUCAAGGAUUGGAGAUCCGUUUCAAUCUUGCCGAGCUCAAGGAUUGCAAUUUCGUGUCAAUCCUGGUACACAGUCACGAGCUGUAGUACAACAAAAUUCAAUGAUGGUGGGUCGUAGAUGAAUAGUAAAGCUGCAUGCAAAUAUUGCAUAGCCCCAAGACGCAAUAGAAAGAGUGGUG